CCGGAACUGUCAAGCUAGAGUGCAGGAGAGGAAGGUAGAAUUUCCCGGUGUAGCGGUGAAAUGCGUAGAGAUCGGGAGGAAUACCAGUGGCGAAGGGCGGCCUUCUGGACUGACACUGACACUGAGGUGCGAAAGCGUGGGUAGCAAACAGGAUUAGAUACCCUGGUAGUCCACGCCGUAAAACGAUGUCGACCAGCCGUUGGGUGCCUAGCGCACUUUUGUGGCGAAGUUAACGCGAUAAGUCGACCGCCUGGGGAGUACGGCCGCAAGGUUAAAACUCAAAUGAAUUGACGGGGGCCCGCACAAGCGGUGGAGCAUGUGGUUUAAUUCGAUGCAACGCGAAGAACCUUACCUACUCUUGACAUCCUGCGAAUUUGGUAGAGAUACCUUAGUGCCUUCGGGAACGCAGAGACAGGUGCUGCAUGGCUGUCGUCAGCUCGUGUUGUGAAAUGUUGGGUUAAGUCCCGUAACGAGCGCAACCCUUGUCCUUAUUUGCCAGCGCGUAAUGGCGGGAACUCUAAGGAGACUGCCGGUGACAAACCGGAGGAAGGUGGGGACGACGUCAAGUCAUCAUGGCCCUUACGAGUAGGGCUACACACGUGCUACAAUGGUCGGUACAAAGGGUUGCCAACUCGCGAGAGUGAGCCAAUCCCGAAAAGCCGAUCUCAGUCCGGAUCGGAGUCUGCAACUCGACUCCGUGAAGUCGGAAUCGCUAGUAAUCGUGGAUCAGAAUGCCACGGUGAAUACGUUCCCGGGCCUUGUAC
RNAcentral lists this ribosomal RNA (764 nucleotides) under Halomonas sp. RNAcentral describes it as "bacterial SSU rRNA". It matches the Rfam family "Bacterial small subunit ribosomal RNA", at positions 627 to 1386 of the family's 1533-position model. The record is from RNAcentral. Lineage: Bacteria; Pseudomonadati; Pseudomonadota; Gammaproteobacteria; Oceanospirillales; Halomonadaceae.